This 247-nucleotide signal recognition particle RNA is filed under the name Chlorocebus sabaeus (green monkey). Its description in RNAcentral is "Metazoan signal recognition particle RNA". It matches the Rfam family "Metazoan signal recognition particle RNA". Rfam says of the family: The signal recognition particle (SRP) is a universally conserved ribonucleoprotein. It is involved in the co-translational targeting of proteins to membranes. The record is from Rfam by way of RNAcentral. Lineage: Eukaryota; Metazoa; Chordata; Mammalia; Primates; Cercopithecidae.
GCCAGGUGUGGUGGUGGGCACCUGAAAUCCCAGCUACUUGGGAGGCCGAGGCAAGAGAAUCGCUUGAACCUGGGAGGCGGAGGUUGCAAUGAGCUGAGAUCACACCACUGCACUCCAGCCUGGGCAACAGACUCCAUCUCANNNNNNNNNNUGAGAUGGAGUCUGUUGCCCAGGCUGGAGUGCAGUGGUGUGAUCUCAGCUCAUUGCAACCUCCGCCUCCCAGGUUCAAGCGAUUCUCUUGCCUCGG